RNAcentral lists this long non-coding RNA (614 nucleotides) under Helianthus annuus (common sunflower). Its description in RNAcentral is "hypothetical non coding rna". The record is from RNAcentral. Lineage: Eukaryota; Viridiplantae; Streptophyta; Magnoliopsida; Asterales; Asteraceae.
GUAGGAUCUCUCCAUCCUUAUUGCUUCAUGGAAGCACUCACUAGUGUACUCGCGAAGGGUGCGGAGCUCCCUAACUCGCGCACGCGCGCGGGCGCGUGGCGUGGGCGAUGAGGCGCAAUGUGGCGCUUUGAUGGCGCACUUUGCACUUCGCAUCGCCGCGAGCCGCUUGAGAGCCGCCUUUGUAUUUUUGACCGCGCGCGCGUGGUGAAGCACAAGGGUUGCAAGGACCAAGUGGUUGGUGAUGUGGGAUGCAUGCACAUGACCCUGGUGGGUCCGCGUGCAGAGGCGCAUGACGUGGCAGUCAUGCGCGCACGCGCGCGAGUACACAUGAAGGCGCGCGGUUGCGCGCAUGGUGCAUGGGCCUGAUGUGACGUGCGCGGCGCACCAAAGUGAGCCAAAACUGCGCGACUGUGUGGCGUGCUCGUAGAGGCUCACAUGUGACGUGGUGCACGCGCGCAUGCGCACAUGGACCUGAGUGGGUAUGGCGCACGCGCGCAUGGCAGUGAGCCAAGUGGAUGCACCGCGCAUGCGGGUGCAGACCUGCGCGCACGCGCAUGGCAGUGAGCCAAGUGGACGCACCGCGCAUGCGGGUGCAGACCUACGCGCGCGCGCGC